GCUCUGGCCGCCUCAACUGGAACCCGUACAUCCAAACUUGUGCGCUUGAGACGGUUUGACGC
This 62-nucleotide microRNA precursor is filed under the name Heliconius melpomene (postman butterfly). Its description in RNAcentral is "miRNA HMEL009136". Lineage: Eukaryota; Metazoa; Arthropoda; Insecta; Lepidoptera; Nymphalidae. The record is from RNAcentral.